Long non-coding RNA from Oreochromis aureus, 938 nucleotides. NCBI's taxonomy places the organism in Eukaryota, Metazoa, Chordata, Actinopteri, Cichliformes, Cichlidae. The record is from Ensembl.
CAGUGGAUCAACUUUCCGGUGAACAAUUUUGGUGAACUCAAGGAUCUGAAUUUUGACGUUUUGAAAUGUCUGGGCACGGACAUCAUGGACAUGGCCACCACGGGCACCAUGGCCACCAUGGCCACCAUGGACACCAUGGACAUGGUAGUGGUUUUUUGGGACCUUUCAACCCCGGCUUCCAGCAGCAAGGAAUUGGUGGUCACCAUGGGGGAUAUAAUGGUGGCUAUAUGGGAUAUGGUGGUGGCUAUGGGGCAUAUGGUGAUGGCUACUGGGGACAAGGCCAAUAUGGGCACCAUGGGCACCAUGGACACCAUGGGCACCAUGGGCACCAUGGACACCAUCAUCAUGGAUGUUAAGAAGUGUAGGCGCAGACACAGGGGAGGACACAGGCACCUGUCCUGCCACAAGAAGGGGAGGAAAUAUCAUGGGACUCCAGCAGUUCCUGCAGCAGUGACUCUGACUAGAUGAACAUUUCCGGAGGGACCUACGUGGAAACAUUACUAUCUCAUCCUUUGCUUUCAGUUUUUUUUUUUAGUGUUUACCUAAAAUUAUUUUAGCAGAUGCGAAAAUACAUUAAAUAUAAAGAAUAUGUAAAACAAAACACUCAUUCACAUAUUUAUAAAAAACUGGAUGUAUGGGUUUGUGGAGUAUCAUUUUAAGCCAUUUUCAAAGAUAACAUUAUGUUGUAGAACUAAAGUCAUUUGAACAUUUUUCACUGAGUUCAUAAAUCAGAAGCAGCUAUAUGUGUGAAAUGAUGCCAGCUAAAUUCUUUUGCAGCCAGCUGCCCCCUGCUGGUCAUCAAAGAAAAUGCAUUUUUUUAGCGUUGAAAAAAAAUCCAGAUUCUACAUCAAUCUUUUGUACAAAGACUUUGUGUAAACUCAUAAUCAGCUUCCACUUUAUAUUUACUUUGUGUUGAAAAAAUAAAUAUGAAAACUGAC